GCAAAAGGUUUUAGCUCAGUAUUUGAGCAUCUGCUUUGCAUGCAGAAGGUUCCAGGUUCAAUCCCUGGCAUCUGCA
Podarcis lilfordi (Lilford's wall lizard) is the source of this 76-nucleotide non-coding RNA. Lineage: Eukaryota; Metazoa; Chordata; Lepidosauria; Squamata; Lacertidae. The record is from the annotation of a GenBank genome assembly.